RNAcentral lists this ribosomal RNA (253 nucleotides) under uncultured bacterium. RNAcentral's name for it is "partial 16S ribosomal RNA". It matches the Rfam family "Bacterial small subunit ribosomal RNA", at positions 524 to 776 of the family's 1533-position model. The record is from RNAcentral.
UACGUAGGGUGCAAGCGUUGUCCGGAAUUAUUGGGCGUAAAGAGCUCGUAGGCGGUCUGUCGCGUCUGCUGUGAAAACUCGGGGCUUAACCCCGGGCCUGCAGUGGGUACGGGCAGACUAGAGUGCGGUAGGGGAGACUGGAAUUCCUGGUGUAGCGGUGAAAUGCGCAGAUAUCAGGAGGAACACCCGUAGCGAAGGCGGCACUCUGGGCCGGAACUGACGCUGAGGAGCGAAAGCGUGGGGAGCGAACAGG